This 1796-nucleotide ribosomal RNA is filed under the name Durio zibethinus. Its description in RNAcentral is "SSU rRNA". It matches the Rfam family "Eukaryotic small subunit ribosomal RNA". The record is from RNAcentral. Lineage: Eukaryota; Viridiplantae; Streptophyta; Magnoliopsida; Malvales; Malvaceae.
CCUAGUUGAUCCUGCCAGUAGUCAUUUGUUUGUCUCAAAGAUUAAGCCAUACAUGCAUUAGUAUGAACUAAUUUAGACUGUGAAACUAUGAAUGGCUCAUUAAAUCAGUUACAGUUUGUUUGAUGGUAUCUACUACUUGGAUAAGCAUAGUAAUUCUAGAGCUAAUAUGUGCAAGAAACCCUAACUUUUAGAAAGGAUGCAUUUAUUAGAUAAAAGGUCAAUGCGGGCUUUGCCCAUUACUUUGAUGAUUUGUGAUAAGUUGACAGAAUGCACAGCCUUUGUGCCAGUGACAUAUCAUUUAAAUUUCUACCCUAUCAACUUGUGAUGGUAAGAUAAUGGCUUACUAUGGUGGUGAUAGAAGAUGAAGAAUUAGGGUUGAGUUUUGAAGAAAGAGCCUGAGAAAUAGCUACCAUAUCCAAGGAAAGUAGCAGGUGCACAAAUUACUUAAUCCUGACAUGGAGAGGUAGUGAUAAUAAAUAACAAUACUAGGCUCUAUGACUCUGGUAAUUGAAUUGAGUACAAUCUAAAUCCCUUAAUAAGCAUCCAUUUGAGGGUAAGUCUGGUGAUAGCAGCCAUGGUAAUUCCAAUUCCAAUAGCAUAUAUUUAAGUUGUUGAAGUUAAAAAGCUCGUAGUUAGAACUAGGGCUGGUCAUUCGAUCUGCCUCAUGGUGAGCACUGGUCUAUUCAUCCCUACUACUAGCAAUGUGCUCCUACCCUUAAUUGGCUUGGUUGUUCCUUUGACACUAUUACUUUGAAGAAAUUAGAGUGUUCAAAAGUAGGCCUACGCUUGUAUGCAUUAGCAUCAGAUAACAUCAUAUGAUUUUGAUCUUAUGGUGUUGGCCUUCAGGAUUAAAAGUAAUGACUAACAGAGACAAUUGGGGGCAUUUGUAUUUCAUAAUCAAAGGUGAAAUUCUUAGAUUUAUGAAAGAUGAACAACUAUGAAAGCAUUUGCCAAGGAUGUUUUCAUUAAUCCAGAAUGAAAGUUGGAGGCUAAAAUAUGAUUAGAUGUCAUCCUAGUCUCAACAAUAAAUGAUGCCGACUAGGGAUUAGGGGAUGUUACUUUUAGGACUCGCUAGCACCUUAUGAGAAAUUGAAGUCUUUGGGUUUCAUGAAGAGUUCUAGUGCAAGGUUGAAACUUAAAGGAAUUGAUGGAAGGGCACCACCAAGAGUAGAGCUUGUCAGUUAUUUGGCUCAACACGGGGAAACUUACCAAGUCUAGACAUAAUAAGGACUGACAAACUGAGAGCUCUUUCUUGAUUCUAUGGGUGGUGGUGCAUGGUUGUUCUUAGUUGGUAGAUCAAUUUGUCUGGUUAAUUCUAUUAACGAAUGAGACUUCAACCUGCUAACUAGCUAUAUGAAGGUGAUCCUUUAUGGCUAGCUUCUUAGAGAAACUAUAGCCACUUAGGCCAAGGAAGUUUGAGGUAAUAACUAGUUUGUGAUGCCCUUAGCUAGUUUGAGCCACAUAAGCACUACACUGAUGUAUUCAACGAGUCUAUAGCCUUGAUCGAUAGGACCAGGUAAUCUUUGAAAUUUCAUCAUGAUGGGGAUAAAUCAUUGCAAUUAUUGGUCUUCAAGGAGGAAUUCCUAGUAAGUGUGAGUCAUCAACUCAUGUUGACUACAUCCCUACCUUUUGUACACACCGCCUUCCCUUCUACAGAUUGAAUGGUCCAGUGAAGUGUUUGUAUAUGUGGUAACAUGGAUGGUUUGCUACCCAUAACAUCACAACAAGUCUACUAAACCUUAUCAUUUAGAGGAAAGAGAAGUCAUAAUAAGGUUUUUGUAUGUGAACUACGAAAG